AUCCUCUAGAGAUUCCUACGGGAGGCAGCAGUAGGGAAUAUUGGACAAUGGGUGCAAGCCUGAUCCAGCCAUGCCGCGUGCAGGAAGAAGGCCUUCUGGGUCGUAAACUGCUUUUACCGGGGGAUAAAAAAGUCUUGCGAGACGAAUUGAAGGUACCUGGUGAAUAAGCCACGGCUAACUACGUGCCAGCAGCCGCGGUAA
This 201-nucleotide ribosomal RNA is filed under the name uncultured bacterium. RNAcentral describes it as "partial 16S ribosomal RNA". It matches the Rfam family "Bacterial small subunit ribosomal RNA", at positions 324 to 523 of the family's 1533-position model. The record is from RNAcentral.